UACAAUCAUGAUGUUACUGUGUUUUCUGCUUCUGCUGUCAGUUAUACAAGAUACAUGCUUUGCACAGAAAAUAACACCAUUACAGGACACUGUUGUUGAAACUACUGAGGGGGAUUCAGUCACUCUCUCAUGUAAAUAUGAAGGCAAUAUACAAAAUUUACUGUGGUAUCGACAAUAUCCCAGAUCCAGACCUGAAUUUCUGCUCCUUGUCAUUAAGUCAUCUACAAAAAGUGUAAUAUACACUGAUUCCCGUGACCCCAGACUGGAUGGUGAAGUGAAUGUGGAUGAUAGUCGUGUGUAUCUGGAGAUCUCAUCUGUUAAAGUCAAAGACUCUGCUCUGUAUUACUGUGCACUGAGGCCCACAGUGACAGGAAACACAACAACACUGUACAAAAACCUCCAUGAAUAAAUCAAUGACACUAUUUAGGACAGUUUCCCAGACAGGGCACUAACAGUAUUUUAA
Non-coding RNA from Misgurnus anguillicaudatus (oriental weatherfish), 463 nucleotides. NCBI's taxonomy places the organism in Eukaryota, Metazoa, Chordata, Actinopteri, Cypriniformes, Cobitidae. The record is from the annotation of a RefSeq genome assembly.